GAUGAACGCCGGCGGUGUGCCUAAUACAUGCAAGUCGAACGCGUUGGCCCAAUUGAUUGAUGGUGCUUGCACCUGAUUGAUUUUGGCCGCCAACGAGUGGCGGACGGGUGAGUAACACGUAGGUAACCUGCCCAGAAGCGGGGGACAACAUUUGGAAACAGAUGCUAAUACCGCAUAACAACGUCGUUCGCAUGAACAACGCUUAAAAGAUGGCUUCUCGCUAUCACUUCUGGAUGGACCUGCGGUGCAUUAGCUUGUUGGUGGGGUAAUGGCCUACCAAGGCGAUGAUGCAUAGCCGAGUUGAGAGACUGAUCGGCCACAAUGGGACUGAGACACGGCCCAUACUCCUACGGGAGGCAGCAGUAGGGAAUCUUCCACAAUGGGCGCAAGCCUGAUGGAGCAACACCGCGUGAGUGAAGAAGGGUUUCGGCUCGUAAAGCUCUGUUGUUAAAGAAGAACACGUAUGAGAGUAACUGUUCAUACGUUGACGUAUUAACCAGAAAGUC
RNAcentral lists this ribosomal RNA (506 nucleotides) under Limosilactobacillus fermentum. RNAcentral's name for it is "bacterial SSU rRNA". It matches the Rfam family "Bacterial small subunit ribosomal RNA", at positions 28 to 492 of the family's 1533-position model. Lineage: Bacteria; Bacillati; Bacillota; Bacilli; Lactobacillales; Lactobacillaceae. The record is from RNAcentral.